GACGAACGCUGGCGGCGUGCUUAACACAUGCAAGUCGAACGGAAAGGCUCCUGCUUGCCGGGGUACUCGAGUGGCGAACGGGUGAGUAACACGUGGGUGAUCUGCCUUGUACUCUGGGAUAAGCUUGGGAAACUGGGUCUAAUACCGGAUAAUAACUGCCUUUAGUGUGGUGGUUGGAAAGUUUUUUCGGUGCAAGAUGAGCUCGCGGCCUAUCAGCUUGUUGGUGGGGUAAUGGCCUACCAAGGCGUCGACGGGUAGCCGGCCUGAGAGGGUGUACGGCCACAUUGGGACUGAGAUACGGCCCAGACUCCUACGGGAGGCAGCAGUGGGGAAUAUUGCACAAUGGGCGGAAGCCUGAUGCAGCGACGCCGCGUGGGGGAUGACGGCCUUCGGGUUGUAAACUCCUUUCGACAGGGACGAAGCUUUUUGUGACGGUACCUGUAUAAGAAGCACCGGCUAACUACGUG
RNAcentral lists this ribosomal RNA (467 nucleotides) under uncultured bacterium. RNAcentral's name for it is "partial 16S ribosomal RNA". It matches the Rfam family "Bacterial small subunit ribosomal RNA", at positions 28 to 507 of the family's 1533-position model. The record is from RNAcentral.